AACGAACGCUGGCGGCGCGCCUAAUACAUGCAAGUCGAGCGAGAAGACGUAGCAAUACGUUUGUAAAGCGGCGAACGGGUGAGGAAUGCAUGGGUAACCUACCCUCGAGUGGGGAAUAACUAGCCGAAAGGUUAGCUAAUACCGCGUACGCUCCUUGGACUUCGGUUCAGGGAGGAAAGCGAUACCGUGGGUAUCGCGCUCUUGGAUGGGCUCAUGUCCUAUCAGCUUGUUGGUGAGGUAACGGCUCACCAAGGCUUCGACGGGUAGCUGGUCUGAGAGGACGAUCAGCCACACUGGCACUGCGACACGGGCCAGACUCCUACGGGAGGCAGCAGUAAGGAAUAUUGCGCAAUGGGGCGAAAGCC
RNAcentral lists this ribosomal RNA (365 nucleotides) under uncultured bacterium. RNAcentral describes it as "bacterial SSU rRNA". It matches the Rfam family "Bacterial small subunit ribosomal RNA", at positions 29 to 383 of the family's 1533-position model. The record is from RNAcentral.